GUCCUUUUGUUUAUUAAUUUAAGGUUUGACCUGCCCAAUGAGGAAUUCAAUGGCCGCAGUAUUUUAACUGUGCUAAGGUAGCAUAAUCAUUUGUCUUUUAAUUGAGGGCUGGAAUGAAGGGUUGGACGAGGCAUUAGCUUUCUUUGAUUUAAUUUAGGAAUUUAAUUUUUGAGUUAAAAAGCUUAAAUUUAUUUAUGGGACGAGAAGACCCUAUAGAUCUUUAUGGUUUUAUGUUUUAAUAAUUUAGGGAUUUAUAUAUUUUAAGCAGAUGAAUUAUUUUGUUGGGGUGACUGUAGAAUUUAAAUAACUUCUAUUUUUUAUUUUCAUUAAUUAAUGUUUUUUUGAUCCAUAAUUUAUGAUUAGAAGAAUAAGUUACCUUAGGGAUAACAGCGUAAUUUCCUCGGAGAGUUCAUAUUGAUGAGGGAGUUUGCGACCUCGAUGUUGGAUUAAAAUAAGUUGUGGAUGCAGGAGUCUAUUUACUAGGUCUGUUCGACCUUUGAAUUUUU
RNAcentral lists this ribosomal RNA (506 nucleotides) under Triatoma maculata. RNAcentral's name for it is "partial 16S ribosomal RNA". It matches the Rfam family "Bacterial large subunit ribosomal RNA", at positions 1829 to 2597 of the family's 2925-position model. Lineage: Eukaryota; Metazoa; Arthropoda; Insecta; Hemiptera; Reduviidae. The record is from RNAcentral.